RNAcentral lists this transfer RNA (78 nucleotides) under Fidelibacterota bacterium. RNAcentral's name for it is "tRNA-Pro". It matches the Rfam family "tRNA". From Rfam's summary of the family: Transfer RNA (tRNA) molecules are approximately 80 nucleotides in length. The record is from RNAcentral. Lineage: Bacteria; Pseudomonadati; Fidelibacterota.
CGGAGCGUGGCGCAGCCCGGAUAGCGCACCUGAAUGGGGUUCAGGGGGUCGGAGGUUCAAAUCCUCUCGCUCCGACAA